GCCUAGCCCUAAACCUUGGUAAUAUAUCACAUACCCUACCCGCCUGGGAACUACGAGCACCAGCUUAAAACCCAAAGGACUUGGCGGUGCUUUAGACCCCCCUAGAGGAGCCUGUUCUGGAACCGAUAACCCCCGUUCAACCUCACCCUUCCUUGUUUAUCCCGCCUAUAUACCGCCGUCGUCAGCUUACCCUGUGAAGGCCUAAAAGUAAGCACAACUGGCACAACCCAAAACGUCAGGUCGAGGUGUAGCGCAUGGAGGGGGAAGAAAUGGGCUACAUUCCCUAUGUUAGGGAACACGAACGGCGCACUGAAACACGCGCCUGAAGGAGGAUUUAGUAGUAAGCGGAAAAUAGCGUGUUCCACUGAAAUCGGCCCUGAAGCGCGC
Molecule: ribosomal RNA, 387 nt
Filed under: Sebastes peduncularis
Lineage: Eukaryota; Metazoa; Chordata; Actinopteri; Perciformes; Sebastidae
Description: partial 12S ribosomal RNA
Rfam family: Bacterial small subunit ribosomal RNA
Source: RNAcentral